CUACGGGUUGCUCCAGUGGGGAAUAUUGCACAAUGGGCGAAAGCCUGAUGCAGCGACGCCGCGUGGAGGAUGAAGGUCUUCGGAUUGUAAACUCCUGUUAAGUGGGAAGAAAUCUUUGCAAGUAAUAUUUGCAAAGGAUGACGGUACCACUAGAGAAAGCUCCGGCUAACUUCGUGCCAGCAGCCGCGGUAAUACGAAGGGAGCGAGCGUUAUUCGGAAUUACUGGGUGUAAAGGGCGCGUAGGCGGUUAGUUAAGUCAGCCGUUAAAUUCCUUGGCCCAACCAAGGUUCGGCAGUUGAUACUGGUUGACUAGAGGGCAAGAGAGAGAAGUGGAAUUCUCGGAGUAGCGGUAAAAUGCGUAGAUCUCGAGAGGAACACCAGUUGCGAAGGCGGCUUCUUGGCUUGUCCCUGACGCUAAAGCGCGAAAGCGUGGGGAGCAAACAGGAUUAGAUACCCCUGUAGUC
This 464-nucleotide ribosomal RNA is filed under the name uncultured bacterium. RNAcentral's name for it is "partial 16S ribosomal RNA". It matches the Rfam family "Bacterial small subunit ribosomal RNA", at positions 339 to 795 of the family's 1533-position model. The record is from RNAcentral.